GUGCUUGCUUCGGCAGCACAUCUGCUAAAAUUGGAAUGAUACAGAAAUUAGCAUGGCCCCCGUGCAAGGAUGACACACGAAUUCACGAAGCAUCCCAUAUUAAA
Molecule: small nuclear RNA, 104 nt
Organism: Jaculus jaculus (lesser Egyptian jerboa)
Lineage: Eukaryota; Metazoa; Chordata; Mammalia; Rodentia; Dipodidae
Source: RefSeq, a predicted model, not a curated record